RNAcentral lists this long non-coding RNA (229 nucleotides) under Elaeis guineensis (African oil palm). Its description in RNAcentral is "long non-coding RNA (EGUI_LNC061985)". Lineage: Eukaryota; Viridiplantae; Streptophyta; Magnoliopsida; Arecales; Arecaceae. The record is from RNAcentral.
AGAAAAAAAUUUCUUCUCUUCUAGAUCUAGAUUUGAAAAAAAAAUUAUAAAACAGGCAUGCAAUUUGAUCACAAUCUGAAUUUCAGUAUAUGUAUAAUUUCAGCAUAUAAAAUAGAUCCUUGUGGUUUUAUAUUUUUAUGCAUGCAUGAUUCAGAUUAAAAGUAUUUUAAUCUUGAAUUUUACUGUGGUAUUUAGAAAAUAAAAUUUUAAAACACACAUGCAUACCCCA